UGGCGCAUGCGUAUUACGGGGCAGGCGCGGCGCUGAUGCUGUACACGCCGGACUCGGGAGCCCCCAGCAGCUGUCGCGCGGUGGAAGCGUGGGGAUGGCGUGUCGCGGGCGCCGGCCGGAGCACGGCGGACCCCCCGAGCUGUUUUACGACCAGAAUGAAGCCCGGAAAUACAUGCGCAACUCUAGGAUGAUUGAUGUGCAGACCAAGAUGACUGGGCGAGCAUUGGAGCUCCUUGAUCUGCCUGAUGGGAAGCCCUGUUUCCUGUUGGAUAUUGGUUGCGGUACUGGGCUGAGUGGAGAUUAUCUCUCUGAUGAGGGGCACUAUUGGGUGGGCAUCGACAUCAGCCUUGCCAUGCUGGAUGCAGCUUUGGACCGAGAAGCACAAGGAGACCUACUUCUGGGGGACAUGGGCCAGGGCAUUCCCUUCAAACCGGGCUCCUUUGAUGGUUGUAUCAGCAUUUCUGCUGUGCAGUGGCUCUGUAAUGCUAACAAGAAGUCAGACAUUCCCGCCAAGCGCCUGUACUGCUUUUUUUCAUCUCUUUAUUCUGUGCUGGUCCGUGGAGCCCGAGCUGUUCUGCAGCUAUACCCUGAGAACUCAGAGCAGUUGGAGCUAAUCACGACCCAGGCCAUCAGGGCUGGUUUCACUGGCGGUGUGGUGGUGGACUACCCCAACAGUGCCAAAGCGAAGAAGUUCUACCUCUGUUUGUUUUCUGGGCCAUCAACCUUUCUGCCAAAGGGCCUAAAUGAAAUUAAGGAAGAAGAGGAGGCAAAGGAAUCCACAUUCACGAACAAGAGCCGUGUCUCCGGCACAGGGUCCCACACAGGAUUGCACGGAGUGGGGUGGUGAGGAAGAUGAAGACCCGAGAGUGGGUGCUGGAGAAGAAAGAGCGCCGUAGACGCCAGGGCAAGGAAGUCAGACCUGACACUCAGUACACCGGCCGCAAGCGCAAGCCCUACUUCUGAGCUGUUAGCUGCACUGAAUGGUGGGACAGCUCGGGGUCCACACAGUUGUGAGCUGUGCCAUCCAGCUCAGGCACUGCCUCUGGAAGGUUUUAUAUAUUGAAGUAUCUACUCCAUCAGCUGACAAAAGAGUGUCUAGAAAAGUUCUAAUAGCCCUGACCAACAUGGCUCAGUGGUUAGAGCGGCCUGCACACCAAAAGGUCAUGGGUUGGCUCCCCGCCCCUGGUUGGGGUGUG
This is an RNA transcript of Myotis brandtii (Brandt's bat), 1196 nucleotides long. It is a transcript of the gene named Williams Beuren syndrome chromosome region 22, with no coding region annotated. The transcript has 12 exons. NCBI's taxonomy places the organism in Eukaryota, Metazoa, Chordata, Mammalia, Chiroptera, Vespertilionidae. The record is from RefSeq and is a predicted model, not a curated record.